CAAUAGCGUAUAUUAAAGUUGUUGCAGUUAGAACGCUCGUAGUCGGAUUUCGGGGCGGGCCGACCGGUCUGCCGAUGGGUAUGCACUGGUCGGCGCGUCCUUCCUUCCGGAGACCGUCCCUACUCUUAACUGAGCGGGGGCGGGAGACGGGACUUUUACUUUGAAAAAAUCAGAGUGUUUCAAGCAGGCAGCUCGCUCUUGCAUGGAUUAGCAUGGGAUAAUGAAAUAGGACUUUGGUGCUAUUUUGUUGGUUUCGAACACCGAAGUAAUGAUGAGAAGGGACAGUCAGGGGCACUCGUAUUCCGCCGAGAGAGGUGAAAUUCUCAGACCAGCGGAAGACGAACCACUGCGAAAGCAUUUNCCAGGGAUGUUUNCACUGA
This 380-nucleotide ribosomal RNA is filed under the name uncultured eukaryote. RNAcentral's name for it is "partial 18S ribosomal RNA". It matches the Rfam family "Eukaryotic small subunit ribosomal RNA", at positions 592 to 976 of the family's 1831-position model. The record is from RNAcentral.